Papaver somniferum (opium poppy) is the source of this 9225-nucleotide RNA transcript. RefSeq lists it as uncharacterized. Lineage: Eukaryota; Viridiplantae; Streptophyta; Magnoliopsida; Ranunculales; Papaveraceae. The transcript is spliced from 7 exons. The record is from RefSeq and is a predicted model, not a curated record.
AGGGACUUAAUUCCACUGCGGCUGUUCCAUGGAUUGAAUUGUACAGAUUCUCUCAUCAAGUUCCUACUUUCAUGAUAUCAGGAGCAAGGUAUGGAAAAUUGCGUGGUUGCUGGGAGCUUGAUCCUAGAUCAUUGGCAGCUUCUGAACGACCUCUGGAUAAGAGUAAGGCUACCAGUGUUUCAGAAAGUGAGAAAAAUGUUGUUGCUCUCACUAAGAAAAUGUGUCUAGAUGGAGUCAUUGCUGUACUUGGCAAUGUGGAUGAGGACAUCUCCUCUUCACCUUCUUCUUUGAAGAAUUUUGAAAUGCCUGACACAAAAUUCUGCAACUUCGAUCUAGUGCAAUCACGUGAAAUGUUUAAGACUGGUCAGGUAUGGGCUCUGUAUUGCAAAUUGGAUAAGUUGCCCAAAAAUUAUGCUUUGAUAGAAAGUAUUAAACCAUUUCCUGUUUUUGAACUGUCCGUAAAGUGGCUUAAACCUUGCGAUCCUCCAAGAUGUAUUAUUCCAUGGGUUGACAGGGAAAUGCACGUAAGCUGUGGAACAUUUAAGGUUGCAUCCAGUGAAGUUGUUGUCUUUAAUAAUUCCAUUUCUUUCUCUCAUCAGUUAAGUGAGAUACCAGCUGUUAACAACGCGUACACAAUCCAUCCUAGGGUAGGGGAAGUGUGGGCAGUGUAUGGUACAUUUCGCUCUGACUUGAUGUGCUCGGACUUGAAGAAAUGCGAGUACGACUUUGUUGAAAUUUUAGAGGUGGUUGAUGUUCAUUGGAUAAUCGUAUCGGUUUUACAAAGAGUUGCUGGUUUUAAGACGAUAUUCAAAGCUAAAGAAAAAGAGGGACUUGAUUCCACUGUGGCUAUACCGGUGCUUGAAUUGUAUAGAUUCUCUCAUCAAGUUCCUAGUUUCAUAUUGUCUGGUGCAAGGUUUGGGCAGUUGCGUGGAUGCUGGGAGCUCGAUCCUAGAUCAUUGGCAGAUUAUUGAUAUUCGACGAAGUGAAGAUGAGCAGCGUGGUAUAGGCUUUAUCCAGUACGACAGUCUACUCCGGAAGUUGAACCAUUCAUAAAGUUUUCACCAAUGGGCAAUGGGAGAAUGUCCCUUCAAACACUGGAUAGCACGUCCAUCUCUGACGAAAGAGCUACAAACUGGGUGUGAAAGCAUUCACUGGCAGGUGGAUGAGUUGGACAUUGCUUUGGAAGCUAGAGAGCCUCCCUGGUAUGGCGUUGACGAAGUGGAGCUUGAGAAACGUAGAAGAUGGACCAGCACUGCUCGCAUUCAGGUGUGUGUCAUGAAAAAAGCUGGAAAAGCUAGAAGUGCGAACGGUAUGCUUCAGGAGCUAAUGAGGGUCCCUAAUGAUCCUUACCAGGCAGUAAAAUCCAGCUCAUAUGCAGCACAAGAUAAUAAUGAUUUCAUCAUCUUAGUCAGAUUGACAGAUGCUCCUCAUAAACUGAUAUUUCUAGGCAGAAAGAUAAUGAACUGAAGGAGUUAAGUGCAAGCGUGCGAAUAAUUGGAGGUGUGGGGCUUACUUUACACGAAGAACUUACUCGACAGGUAGAAUUUCUGAUUGUCAUUCCUUUUGUGAACUGUUUGUCUUGUUUGUCGGAAUUUGGAGAUACUAGGUUACUGAACUCACACCACUGCUAUCCAGCAUUAGAUAUAGUUAGAUUUUCUCAAUGGAAGCUCUCGUUGGAUUGUCUUCCUCUGCAGUUACAAGUCUUGUUAACUUGUUUACAAUAUCAUACGUUAUCUGUGUAUGUCAGUGUUAGAAGGGGUAUAGUCUAUCAAGUAGAAUUAUGGCCAUUCCCGUUGUUAUUUGUAAGGUUGAAAUACUGUCUUCUUUGUUAAAAUUUGAAGAUAGUAUGUUACUUAAGUCACACCCUUGGUCCUGCUGUCCAGCAUCGGAGAUAGUUGGAUAUUGUUUACGGAAAUGUCUCUUAGGAUAAUUUUCCCCUGCAGUUGAAAGUCAAAUUGACUUUUUAUAAUCUCAUAAUUCCAUUAAGUAUGUCAAUGCUAUUGCUGCGCACCCAUAGUUUACCAAGUAGCUGCUGCCAAGUUUUCUGAGUUUAUAUAGAGAUUUCUUUGUUAUUGUAAAAUGUUUUACUAAAUUUUAAACAUUUUGUUUCAGUUUUGUUUACGCAUCUAUUGUUGCUGUUGGCCUUGUUGCAUUUGUAUACUGAGUCAAUUUUAUCCAAUCAGACCCCAAUAAGUUGGCUUGAUUUGCACAGAAUGCCAACAUUAUCUCAGGCUUUAUUAAACUCAGAUGAGUCAAUUUGUGUUGAAACACCUAACAAAAGGAGUUGUCAGUUUGCCACCAAUUUGUUGUUAUUGAUUUUGAAUUACUAUUCCCAUUCUUGUAUUUGUUAGUGCUUGUCCUGAAUUACUCUUGUUUCUAAAAAUUGUGGAUGCAAAGCGUUUGAUUGGUUGAAGGUUUCAGAUCCAUCAGUUCAAGCUGAGAUGAAGUUAUGGCCUUUCAAGGUUAUUGCUGGACCAGGUGAAAAACCUAUGAUUACUGUCACAUACAGAAACAAUUUUCAUCUGAAGAAAUAUCAUCUAUGAUUAGAGAUUAUAGAAGCUUACCUUGGUUCUUCUGUAAAGAAUGCUGUUGUUACUUUCCCUGCAUAUUAUUAGCAGCGUCAAGCUACAAAGGAUGCUGGCGUCACUGCUGGUCUUAAAGUCAUGAGAAUCAUCAAUGAACCAUCUGCUGCGGCAAUUGCUUAUGAUGGUCUUGAUAAGAAGGCGUGGAGUACCGGGCAGAAGAAUGUUCUAAUUUUCUAUCUUGGUGGUGGUACUUUUGUUUUUCCUUACUGCCUAUUGAAGAGGGUAUUUUCGCUGUAGAUACCCAUCUAGGAGGAGAAGUUUUCGGUAACAGGAUGGUGAAUCAUUUCGUGCAAGAGUUUAAGAGGAUGAAUAAGAACAUGAGUGGAAAUUCUAGGACAUUAGGAAGGUUGAGGACAUCAUGUGAGAGAGGGAAGAGGACUCUUUCAUCCACUGCUCAGACCACGAUUGAGAUUGAUUCUUUGUAUGGAGGUGUUGAUUUUUACACAUCUGAUACUCGUGCUAGAUUCGAAGAGAUGAGAAGUGGUUGAGGGAUGCUAAGAUGGACAGGAACAGUGUUCAUGAUGUUGUUCUGGUCGGUGGAUCAACUAGGAUUCCUGAAGUGCAGCAAUUGUUGCAGGAGUUCUUUGAUGGGAAAAAAUUCUGCAACAGUAUUAACCCCGAUGAAGCUGUGGCUUAUGGAGCGGCUAUGCAGGCUGCGAUUUUGAGUGGUGAAACUAAUCAGAACUUGGAUCAAUUGUUGCUGUUGGACGUUACUCCUCUCUCCCUUGGGCUCGAGACAGCUGGAGGGGUACUGACUACAUCAAUUGCACCAAACACCAGUAUUCCCACCGAAGAGGAGCAAGUUUUCUCCACCUACUCCAACAACCAGCCUAGAAUAUCAAUCAGGUGUGUGAGGGAGAUAGAGCUAGAACCAAGGAUACAAAACUUGCUUGGUUUCGAGCUGUCUGGAUUCCACCUGCCCCUAGUGAUGUUCCUCAGAUUACCGUUUGCUUUGACAUUGAUGCAAAUGGUAUUCUAAAUGAAGAACAAUGUCACAAUCACUAAUGAUAAAGAAAACUUGUCCAGGGAGGAGAUUGAGAAGAUGGUGCAAGAAGCCGAGAAGUACAAGACUGAAGAUGAACAACACGAGCAGAAAGUUUGAGUCGAAGAAUGCUUUGGAGAAUAUGAGGAAUACCACCAAGGAUGAAAAGUUUGCUGGGAAGUUAACACCAGCUGACAAGAAGAAAAAUGAAGCUGCUAUUCAGUGGCUUGAUACCCAAUUGUUGCUGGGAUGUAUCAAGGUGGUGCUGGUCCUGACAUGGGUGGUUUCGGUGGCAUGGAUGAGGAUGAUCCUUAAAUGGGAGGUGCUGGUAGUAGUGCAGGACCUAAGAUUGAGGAAGUUAAUCAAGUGGAACUUGGUGGAGGGAUAUGACUGCUUGGGGUCCUAAAGCUGGAGGGGAUUUAUUUUGUUUAGCUCUUUUCAGUUUACUUUUCAAGUUUUCAUUUUUAUCUGACAAAAUGAUGCUACAGUCUGGCUGUUGGUUGUAAUUUCGAUACGGAAUGGAAAUAUUUCAGUUUUAGUUUGUUAAUCAAGAAUAUGCUUGAUUCUUAAAAACUACUACUUAUGAUAUCUCUGACCUUACACACAUCCUGUGCAUUAUCUGUCUAUACAAGCUCCAGAAGUUUUCAAAGAACAUGAAAAAUUUCUGGGGUAUCCUUUUUAUCAAUCGUGCCGUUAAAAUGCGUGAAAAACCGUCACGGUGGGCCUUAGCCCGUGAACUCUGUGUCCAAGUCCGCUUUUCAAACUGCGGUUAAAACCUGAAGACCUUCAAAAGCAUAAAAUCUUCUGCAACUCGCAAAACCCUUACUCAUGAACUCUCUUCUGGGUUCUUUCCGAUUCAAAAUUUGAGCAGCGGUUUAUCAAUCAAUUCAUGGAGAUUUAAUAUAUUUUUCAAUGACGACUUCAUCACAGACUCAAUCAUCGUCAUUAUCUUCUUCUACAUUUUCAUUCGGAACUGCCACCUCCAUUUCGUCUUCCUCACAAUUUUCAUCUACCCCUUCGACUGGAUUACCCUUUGGAACCAAAGCAGCAUUUGGUUCAUCUGCUGGACCUUCAACAAGUCUUUCAUCAGGAGGAGGAUCUCAACAACCUCCCACACAAUUAUUUGGUGUUUCUACUUCAACUCCUAGCUUUGGAGUCAGUUCUGCAUCUACCACCACUACACCUGCAUUUGGGAUUCGCAAGACAGUAGCACCUGGUGGUUCUUCAUUAUCUGGUUCAACAUCUGGAGCACCAAUGUUUUCUGUUCCUUCGUUUGGAGCAGCUCCCUCUACUUCGUCAGCUGUGUCAAAUGCUACACCAGCUUUUACUAUGCCCUCGUUUGGAGCUCCCACUGCUGCUGCUGCUGCUCCUUCAACUACUAUUACUGCUUCUCCAGGAUUCACGACUUCAAAUUUGUUGGUAACACCUUCAUCUGCUGCUUCGAGAACAUCUACUGCUGCUCCUUUUUCUAGCAUGUCAACUGCUGCCUCUUCUUCUUCACCCAUUAGCAAGUCAACAGUUCCAUUUGGAACUGGUUCAGCAUUGUCCUAUACCACUGCUAGCUUUACACAGACGACUUCUCCUGCAUCAGUGGCACCUGCUGCAACCUCUUCGUCAACAACCACCUUGGCAACUUUUUCCGUUGGAACUCCCCCACUUGGAUUUAAACCAGCAUCUGCUGCUACUACUACAAAUGCAGUAUCGACUGGUGUACUCUCUAGCCCUGCACCUGCAAAGCCUAUGUUCUCAGCAUCAACAGUCACCACCAUAGGUCCAGUUCUGUCAGCAAGUGCAGCAACUGCUACUACUACAAAAGCAGUAUCGACUGGCGCAAUCACUAGCCCUGCACCCGCAAAGCCUGUGAUCUCAGCAUCAAGAGUCACCACCACGGUUCCAGUUCUGUCAGCAAGUGCAGCGACUGCUACCCCUGCUACUACUACAAAUGCAGUAUCGACUGGCGCAGUCUCCAGCCCUGCACCCGCAAAGCGUAUAGUCUCAGCAUCAACAAUCACCACCAAGAGCCCAGUUGUGUCGGCAAGUAUAGCAACUGCUACCCCUGCUACUACUACAAAAGCAGUAUCAGCUGGCGCAGUCUCUAGCCCUGCACCCGCAAAGCCUAAAGUCUCAGCAUCAACAAUCACCACCAAGGGUCCAGUUCUGUCAGCAAGUACAGCAACUGCUACCCCUGCUACUACUACAAAUGCAGUAUCGACUGCUGCAGUCUCUAGACCUGCAUCCGCAAAGCCUAUGUCCACCAAGGGUCCAGUUCUGUCAGCAAGGAUGGCAACUGCUAUCCCUGCUACUACUACAAAUGCAGUAUCGCCUGCCGCAGUCUCUAGACCUGCACCCGCAAAGCCUAUGUCCACCAAGGGUCCAGUUCUGUCAGCAAGGAUGGCAACUGCUACCCCUGCUACUACUACAGGUCCAGUAACGACUGGCGUACUCUCUAGCCCUGCACCUACAAAGCCCGUAGCUGCUGGUUUGGUAUCAAAAGCCUUCACCACGACACCUGCUUCUCCUGCCCAGGGUCUCUUUUCUUCGCUAGCUGGCCCAGCUGCUAACUCUGCUGGUUCAACACCAUCUAUUACUACUCCUAAACGAGAACCUGAAUUGGUGGUCCGUAAAGUUCCCAAUCCAGAGUUUUAUAACUUCAGGAAUAAGACUAAAGCAUCCUUUGAAGUUGGUCAGAAGUGGGCCAUUUAUGUCGAUUUAGAUCAUAUGCCCAAAAAAUAUGUUUGUAUCAAUAAAGUGUAUUCACCUUUCAAGGUAGAUGUCACAUGGUUGGAGUUUAUUGCUGGGGAUAUAAAUGAGACUGCUUGGAAGACAAGUGGGUUACCUGUUGCUUGUGGGAAGUUCAGAUACGGGAAGAAUCAGAAGACCGAUACAAUUACAGAUGUGAGUUCAUUCUCCCAUAAGGUUUUUAAGAACAAAAGCGUCAGUGGGAAUUGCGACAUCUAUCCCCGCAAAGGGGAAACUUGGGCCCUCUACAAGAACUGGAACAUUAAAUGGAGCUCUGAUCCGAACAAUCACAGAGAGUACGAGUAUGAAUUUGUUGUUGUCCUGUCAGAUUACAGUAAAAAAUCAGGCAUUUUGGUUGCCUAUUUGGUUAAGUUAAAAGGUUUUGUAUGCCUGUUUAAGCCAACCAAUAACAAUGGCAUGGCUUCCUUUCAGAUACCAUCCAAUCAAAUGUUAAGAUUCUCUCACAGGGUUCCUUCAAAUAGAACGAACGGUAAAGAACGAAAAGACGUCCCUGAAGGUUAUUUUGAACUUGAUCCGUGCUGCCUGCUCAGUAACCUUAAAGAAGUGUCUGAGUUCAUUGAUAGGAAAGCUGAAGUUGUUGAUGGUAAUAAUAAUGGUUCGUCAAUAUCUGUAUCAAAGUAUAAGCAUCCUGUGCUGAAGAAAAGAAAAAACCCUGAUACAGAGAUUACCUUGGAUGGGAGUUCCCGAGGUGGAAAUAAGUCUUCUAGGAUGUCAGAUGGAUGCUAUAAGAACCCAAAUGAAGAAAACCGGGCAGCAGAAGCUUCUCGUCAACCUCAGAAUAAGAGUAAGGCUACCAGUGUUUCAGAUGGCGGGAAAAUUGUUGCUGCUCACGCUAAGGAAAUGAGCCCAGAUGGUAUGAAUGCCAUACCUGGCAGUGUGGACGAGGUCAUCCCCUCUUCACUUUCUUUGAAAUUUUUUGAAUUGCUAGACACGGAAUUUUGCAACUUUGACGAAGAGCGAUCCUGUGAAAAAUUUAAGACGGGUCAGGUAUGGGCUCUGUAUUACAAAUUGGAUAAGUUUCCCAAAACCUAUGUUCAGAUAGAGUGCGUUGAGUCCUUUCCUGUUUUUAAGCUGUAUGCAAAGUGGCUCAAAUCUUGCGAUCCUCCAAGACGUAUUAUUCCAUGGGUUGACAAGGAAAUGCCAGUAAGCUGUGGAACAUUUAAGGUCACAUCUAGUGAAGUUGUUUUCUUUUAUGAUUCCAUUUCUUUCUCUCAUCAGGUAAGUGGGGUACCAACUGCUAAUAACGUGUACACAAUACUUCCAAGGGCAGGGGAAGUGUGGGCAGUAUACAGUAAAUUUCGCUCUGACCUGACGUGCUCAGACUUGAAAAAAUGCGAGUACGACAUCGUUGAAAUUUUAGAGGUGGUUGAUGUUCAUUGGAUAAUAGUAUCAGUUUUGGAAAGAGUUGCUGGUUUUAAGACGAUAUUCAAAGCUAAACAAACAGAGGGACUUGAUUCCACUGCGGCUAUUCCGUGGAUUGAAUUGUAUAGAUUCUCUCAUCAAGUUCCUAGUUUCAUGAUAUCAGGAGCAAGGUAUGGCAAAUUGCGUGGCUGCUGGGAGCUCGAUAUUAGAUCAUUGGCAGCUUCUGAUCAACCUCUGGAUAAGAGUAAGUCUACUAGUGUUCCAAAUGGUGAUGAAUAUGUUGUUGCUCCCACUAUGAAAAUGAGUCUAGAUGGUGUCAUUUCGAUACCUGGAAAUGUGGGCGAGGACAUCCCCUCUUCACCUUCUUCUUUGAAGACUAUUAAAAUGCCUGUCACAAAAUUCUGCAACUUUGAUGUAGUGCGAUCCUGUGAAAUGUUUAAGACUGGUCAGAUAUGGGCUCUGUAUUGCAAAAUGGAUAAGCUGCCCAAAACCUAUGCUCAAAUAGAGAGUUUUAAAUCAUUUCCUGGUUUUAAACUGGUUGUAAAGUUGCUUAAAUCUUGCGAUCCGCCAAGAAGUAUUAUCCCAUGGGUUGACAAGGAAAUGCCAGUAAGCUGUGGAACAUUUAAGGUCACAUCUAGUGAACUUGUUGUCUUCAAAGAUUCCAUUUCUUUCUCUCAUCAGUUAAGUAAGGUACCAGCUGUCAAUAACGUGUACACAAUCUAUCCAAAGGCAGGGGAAGUGUGGGCACUAUACCGUAAAUUUCGCUCUGACUUGACGUGCUCAGACUUGAAGAAAUGCGAGUACGACAUUGUUGAAAUUUUAGAGGUGGUUGAUGUUCAUUGGAUAAUUGUAUCGGUUAUACAAAGAGUUGCUGGUUUUAAGACGAUAUUCAAAGCUAAAGAAAAAGAGGGACUUGAUUCCACUGCGGCUAUACCGUGGCUCGAAUUGUAUAGAUUCUCUCAUCAAAUUCCUAGUUUCAUAUUGUCAGGAGCAAGGUGUGGGCAGUUGCGUGGAUGCUGGGAGCUUGAUCCUAGAUCAUUGUCAGUUUAUCGAUAUUCAAUGAACUGAAGAUGAGCAGGUUGGUAUAAGUUUUAUUCACUCGACAGUAUAUUCCAGAAGAUGAACUAUUCACAAAGUUAUGCAGGGGAACAAUCUCAUAUCUCUACUGUGAGUCUUAGCCAGUAGUAUUGAACUAUUGUCGGCCUUGAGGUGCAUAUAAGCCUUGAACUUGUGGUGUUAUACUAAAACAUAGAUUUCAGCAUAUUAUCCUUCAGAAUUUUUAGUCAGCCGAUAGAUUUGUUCAAUUUGGGAGCUCCGGCAAAUGCAGUUGAACUGCCAUCAGAAUACAACAGAGGUUAAAGACAGUGAAACGGCAUGACUUUCCUUUACACAUUGUUCACACCUCCAUAUCUGUUAGUUUGGUUUGUGUAGGUGAUUACUUCUCUGGUAAAAUUUCUUACAAGAUGUAGUAUUUGUUCUUCAAUUUGUUUCGUUGUCGUCUUCAUGAUUUCAUUUGAAUUAUUGAUUAAAGUAAAG